UUUCAGUUUUUACGUAUAAUAUUUUGACUCUUCAUUUUAUUUAAAUUUUUUUUGCAAUUAAUAUUUUUAUUAUUACUAGAUGAUAAAACAUGAAUAUGACUUUAUAUGUGACUAAUUUUUUUAAGUUUUUAAUAAAUUGUUUAAAUAAGACGAAUGGUCAAACGUGGAGCACAAAAAUC
This 179-nucleotide microRNA precursor is filed under the name Oryza brachyantha (malo sina). Its description in RNAcentral is "MIR812 microRNA precursor family". It matches the Rfam family "MIR812 microRNA precursor family". The record is from Rfam by way of RNAcentral. Lineage: Eukaryota; Viridiplantae; Streptophyta; Magnoliopsida; Poales; Poaceae.